GGUCGAUUGGUGAAACGGUUUAACACAUUGCCCUCUCAAGGCAACAUUCACGGGUUCGAAUCCCGUAUCGAUCACCA
RNAcentral lists this transfer RNA (77 nucleotides) under Erysipelotrichaceae bacterium. RNAcentral describes it as "tRNA-Glu". It matches the Rfam family "tRNA". From Rfam's summary of the family: Transfer RNA (tRNA) molecules are approximately 80 nucleotides in length. The record is from RNAcentral. Lineage: Bacteria; Bacillati; Bacillota; Erysipelotrichia; Erysipelotrichales; Erysipelotrichaceae.